CCGGAGUGACGGUACCUGAGAAGAAAGCCCCGGCUAACUACGUGCCAGCAGCCGCGGUAAUACGUAGGGGGCAAGCGUUGUCCGGAAUUAUUGGGCGUAAAGCGCGCGCAGGCGGCUAUUUAAGUCUGGUGUUUAAACCUUGGGCUCAACCUGGGGUCGCACUGGAAACUGGGUGGCUUGAGUACAGAAGAGGAAAGUGGAAUUCCACGUGUAGCGGUGAAAUGCGUAGAGAUGUGGAGGAACACCAGUGGCGAAGGCGACUUUCUGGGCUGUAACUGACGCUGAGGCGCGAAAGCGUGGGGAGCAAACAGGAUUAGAUACCCUGGUAGUCCACGCCGUAAACGAUGAGUGCUAGGUGUUAGGGG
Molecule: ribosomal RNA, 365 nt
Filed under: uncultured Paenibacillus sp.
Lineage: Bacteria; Bacillati; Bacillota; Bacilli; Caryophanales; Paenibacillaceae
Description: bacterial SSU rRNA
Rfam family: Bacterial small subunit ribosomal RNA
Source: RNAcentral